GACGUAGGGGGCGAGCGUUAUCCGGAAUGAUUGGGUGUAAAGGGUGAGUAGGCGGCUAACCAAGUCAUAUGUUAAAGGCUGUAGCUUAACUGCAGUAAGGCAUAAGAAACUGGGUAGCUAGAGUGCAGGAGAGGUAAGCGGAAUUUCUAGUGUAGCGGUGAAAUGCGUAGAUAUUAGGAAGAACACCAGUGGCGAAGGCGGCUUACUGGACUGUAACAGACGCUGAGGCACGAAAGCGUGGGGAGCAAACA
This 251-nucleotide ribosomal RNA is filed under the name uncultured bacterium. RNAcentral's name for it is "partial 16S ribosomal RNA". It matches the Rfam family "Bacterial small subunit ribosomal RNA", at positions 524 to 774 of the family's 1533-position model. The record is from RNAcentral.